This 61-nucleotide transfer RNA is filed under the name Anoplocnemis curvipes. RNAcentral's name for it is "tRNA-Asp". The record is from RNAcentral. Lineage: Eukaryota; Metazoa; Arthropoda; Insecta; Hemiptera; Coreidae.
AGAAAUUAGUUUAAAAAAAACAUUAACUUGUCAAGUUAAAGAUAUUCAUGAUAUUUCUUAA